UGGGGAAUAUUGCACAAUGGGCGCAAGCCUGAUGCAGCCAUGCCGCGCGUGUGAAGAAGGCCUUCGGGUUGUAAAGCACUUUCAGCGGGGAGGAAGGCGGUGAGGUUAAUAACCUCAUCGAUCGACGUUACCCGCAGAAGAAGCACCGGCCAACUCCGUGCCAGCAGCCGCGGUAAUACGGAGGGUGCAAGCGUUAAUCGGAAUUACUGGGCGUAAAGCGCACGCAGGCGGUCUGUCAAGUCGGAUGUGAAAUCCCCGGGCUCAACCUGCGAACUGCAUUCGAAACUGGCAAACUAAAGUCUUGUAGAGGGUGGUAGAAUUCCAAAUGUAGCGGUGAAAUGCGUGGAGAUCUGGUGGAAUACCGAUGGCGGAGGCGGCCCCCUGGACAAAGACUGACGCUCAGGUGCGAAAGCGUGGGGAGCAAACAGG
RNAcentral lists this ribosomal RNA (429 nucleotides) under Chloroflexota bacterium. Its description in RNAcentral is "Chloroflexi bacterium partial 16S ribosomal RNA". It matches the Rfam family "Bacterial small subunit ribosomal RNA", at positions 355 to 776 of the family's 1533-position model. The record is from RNAcentral. Lineage: Bacteria; Bacillati; Chloroflexota.